GUUGGUGCAAGAGGCAGCAACAAGCUGAUUUCAGCUUGCUUAAACAGCAAGUCUCGAGGCUUGCAGCAGAAACAAUCAAGGAAGAAAAAAACUUACAAUGGAAAACAGAAAAGAAAGUGAGAGAUUUGAAUGAAAAUGAGCUGAAUUUUCAUUAACUUUUUUAAGAAGGCAUGAUGCCAAUACAUAUAAGGGAUUACAUUAGCAAAACAAACAAGUUACCACCUAAUAACUUACCUAACACCACUAAUUUGCCUAGUAACUUGGUAAACUUGUUUGAAUACAUAAACAGCUACCUAAACUUGUCAUUCAUCACUUAGUUACAUCAAAAUGCAGCUACCAACUAAGUUUGAUCCUAACUAAAUACAAAACAUUCAUUUAAAGAAACUAAAUGAAUAGCUUCAGCUUGCUGCACCAAUUUGCUGUUGAAGCACGUUCCCUGCAUGGCCACCUUUGCUGCUACAUGGGAGCUGACUUCAACACUCCUCCUCAGCUUCUAUGCAGCAGACUCCUAGUUCCCUCUUUAGGCUUAGAAAUCUUGAUACACCAAGAGACUUUGUGAAGAUAUCAGCAAUCUGAUUUUCAGAGCUGCAAUGAAUCAGCUCAAUUUCUCGAGCUUGUUCCAUCUCCCUUAUCACAUGCAGUUUAAUAUCGAAGUGUUUUGUCCUACCAUGGAAGACAGGAUUUUUGGCAAUAGCAACUGCUGACUUGUUGUCACAAUGUAUCACAGUUGCUUCAUUCUGCUGUAGGUUUAAAUCACUCAAAAUUUUUCUCAGCCACACAGCUUGAUUAACAGCAUUAGCAGCUGCUACAUACUCAGCUUCAGCUGUUGACUGAGCCACCAUUGUUUGUUUUCUUGAGCUCCAACAAAUCAUUGCAGAGCCAAGUGUAAAAGCAUAACCAGAGGUGCUCUUCAUGUCAUCUUUUGAACCAGCCCAAUCGCUGUCUGUAUAGCUAAUCAAUUUCAACUCCUUGACCCUUUUGAAACAUAUACCAUGGUUCAAGGUACCUUUGAUAUACCUCAGAACCCUUUUUCCUGCUUUAUAAUGCUGCUGAUUACAGCAAUGCAUGAAUCGUGACAGCAUGCUCACAGCAAAUAGAAUAUCAGGUCUUGUUGCUGUCAAAUACAACAAACAGCCAAUAAGGCUUCUAUAAUCUGUUUCACAGACAGAUUCAUGUUCCUCUUGGCUCGAUAGCUUCAUGCCAAUAGCCAUUGGUGUGCUCAUUGGUUUACAAUUCUCCAUUGAGAAUUUAGCCAGCACUUUCAAGGCAAAUGUCUUUUGUUUCAAAAGGAUUCCUCCUUCUACUUGAUUGACUUCCAUUCCUAGGAAAUAUGUCAUCAAUCCCAGGUCUGACAUCUCAAACAUUUCCUUCAUUUUUGUUUUGAAAUCAGCCAAUAUAAACUUGUCUCCUCCAGUCACUAGAAGAUCAUCAACAUACAGUGACACAAUAAGCUGUGUUUCAGCUCCAUUCCUCUUAACAUAGAGUGUUGGCUCACUAGCACUCCUUUCAAAUCCCAAACUGACCAGGUAUGAGUCAAUUCGAGCAUACCAGGCUCGAGGGGCCUGUUUUAGGCCAUACAAGGCCUUUCUUAGCCUAUACACCAAAUGUUCCUUACCAGGCAUUAUAAAACCUGGGGGUUGCUCGAUGUAUAUCUCCUCUUCUAAGAAUCCAUUGAGGAAUGCAGACUUGACAUCCAUUUGGUGGAUUGUCCACUGGUUCUGAGCAGCAACUGCAAUCAGCAAUCUGAUUGUAUCGAGUCUGGCUACUGGAGCAAAUGUUUCCAAGUAGUCCAGACCAUACCUUUGACUGAAGCCCUUCACAACUAGCCUGGCCUUUAGCUUGUUUAAACUUCCAUCUGCAUUGUGCUUCACUCGAUAGACCCAUUUUACACCAAUGGUCUUUCUGUUGGCAGGCUUUUUAACCAACUCCCAUGUCUGGUUCUUCACAAUCAUGUUGAUUUCAUCAACCAUUGCCUGUUUCCAGCCUUCAUCUGCUUCAGCUUCUUCAAAACUACUAGGUUCUGCUAUAGCAGCUUGUGCUCUUUCAUAAAUCUCAUCUAGGGGCCUUGUGCCUCUCACAGGCGCAUCAUCAACAUCCAUUUCAGGACCAAGGUGCUCGAGUUCAGCUUGCUUAGGCACCAGGUCUUCUGAAGUAGCUUCUGGUUUACUCUUUUCCCAAUUCCAGCAAGCCUUCUCAUCGAAGAUGACAUCUCUGCUCACUUGGACUUUGUUUGUCAAAGGAUCCAGCACCCUGUAGCCCUUCUUAACUGAGCUAUAGCCUAUAAGAACACCUGGUUGAGCCCUUUCAGAGAGCUUGUCUCUGUUUGCUGCUGGUUUUUGUGCAUAACACAGGCAACCAAACACUUUCAGAUGUGCCAAUGAAGGCUUGAAACCGAACCAAGCCUCGAAAGGUGUCUUGGAUGCAAGAGCUUUGGUAGGAAGCCUAUUUUGAAGGUAGACAGCAGUGUUUACUGCCUCAGCCCACAUGGUCUUGGGCAGUUUCUUCUCAAACAGCAGGCACCUGGCCAUAUCCAUCAAGCUUCUGUUCUUUCUUUCUGAUACCCCAUUCUGCUGAGGUGUGUAGACAUUUGUAAGCUGGUGUUUGAUACCAGCAUCAUUGCAAAUGGCUUGAAACUGAGCUGAAGUGUACUCAGUGCCAUUGUCUGACCUUAUCGAUUUCAGCUUGCAACCUGUUUCUGUCUCUACUGCAGUUUUAAACUUCACAAACACUUGAGCUACCUCAGACUUGUGUUUUAAGAAGAAAAUCCAGCAAAACCUUGUAAAAUCAUCAAUGAAGAGGAUGAAAUACCUGUUCUUGCUGAGUGAUUCAGUCCUCAUCGGGCCACAUACAUCAGAGUGCACCAGCUGCAGUCUUUCAAAAGCUCUCCAAGCUGAAUUUGUAGGAAAUGGCAGUCUUGCCUGUUUCCCUAUUUGGCAAACUUCACACACAUCAUCAUGCUUUACUGAGCUGGUAAAGUUUUCUGCCAAGCCCUCUUUGGCCAUUCGAGCCAGUGAUCUGAAGUUGGCAUGUCCGAGCCUUUGAUGCCAAAGCUUGGAAUCAUCAACAGAAGCUGUGUAUGCUAACUUUGAGUCAUUUGGCCAGUGCACCUCAAAGCAUUUGUCAGUCAUUUUGACUUUCAUAAGGCUUGAUCCACUUGGAUCAGCAAUCUGGCACUGUUUGUCCUUGAACACAACAGAAUAGCCUUUCUCGAGCAAUUGAGCUAUGCUGAGAAGGUUUCUGUCAAUCUCAGGCACCAAAAGCACAUUUGGAAUAAUCUUGUUACCUGUAGGAGUACUUAUCAGCACCUCUCCUCUUCCUUCAGCCCUUAUGAACUGACCAUUUCCAACCUUGACCUUGGUUUUGCAACUUCUAUCCAAGGUUUUAAACAAGGAGGCAUCUGGUGACAUGUGGUUAGUGCAACCACUGUCCAAUAACCAGCCUUUUGAGCAUUUCUUCUCAGCAGCUAAGCAAGACACAGCAAAGACCUGCUCUUCUUGGUCACUACUGUCCUCAGCUACCUGAGCUUCAACCUUUGGUUGUUGAAAUUGGCUCUGCCUUGGCUUGGUUCUAUUUUUGCAAACCCUUUCAACAUGGCCUUUCUUCUUGCAGUAUUGGCAUACUGCAUCUGGCCUGAACCAGCAUCUGCCUUCUGGAUGACCUGGCCUUUUGCAAUGUCUGCAGGGCUGGUCAUUGCUCCUUGCAGCAUCAGGCUUAGGUCUGCUUUUCCAAGGCUUUUUACCUCUAGGAGCAUUGAUGCUCGAGGCUUCUCUGGCCUUGACAUUGAAUGCACCUUCCUGGUUGUCUUCAGUUCUGCUAGCUCUUCUUUGUUCCUGAGCAUAGAAGGUGUUGAUUAGCUCAGUCAAAGAGAUGGUAGCAAGAUCUCUUGAGUCCUCUAGAGAGGAUAUCUUGGCCUCAUAUCUCUCAGGCAAAGUGGAGAGGACUUUCUCCACUAUCCUUGCCUCAUCAAAGUGCUCACCUAGGAGCCUUAUACUGUUAACCACUGCCAUGAUUCUGUCUGCAUACUGCUUCACUGUUUCUUCUUCCUUCAUUUUCAGGUUCUCGAAAUCCCUUCUCAAAUUCAACAGCUGUUGUUGCCUUGUUCUCUCAGUGCCUUGAAACUCCUCCUUAAGCUUAUCCCAGGCCUGUUUUGGAGUCUCACAGGCCAUGAUUAUGGUGAAGAUGACAUCUGACACACAGUUCUGGAUGCAGGACAUGGCUUUGUGCCUUUUGGUCCUCUCAUCAGCAUGUUGCCUGAUCUGAGCUACUGUGGGAUUAGCCCUCAGUGGUGCUGGCUCAGCAUCUGUGUUGACAACUUCCCACAGAUCGAAGGCCCGUAGGUAAGUCUUCAUCUUGACCAGCCAUAUGUGAAAGCCUUCUCCAUUGAAGACUGGUGGGGCUGCUGGUGAAAAUCCUGAAGAAGCCAUCAGGUUCCUUGGUUUGAAGCAACAGGUCCACUAAGACAAGGGCUCUAGAUACCAAUUGUUGGUGCAAGAGGCAGCAACAAGCUGAUUUCAGCUUGCUUAAACAGCAAGUCUCGAGGCUUGCAGCAGAAACAAUCAAGGAAGAAAAAAACUUACAAUGGAAAACAGAAAAGAAAGAGAGAGAUUUGAAUGAAAAUGAGCUGAAUUUUCAUUAACUUUUUUAAGAAGGCAUGAUGCCAAUACAUAUAAGGGAUUACAUUAGCAAAACAAACAAGUUACCACCUAAUAACUUACCUAACACCACUAAUUUGCCUAGUAACUUGGUAAACUUGUUUGAAUACAUAAACAGCUACCUAAACUUGUCAUUCAUCACUUAGUUACAUCAAAAUGCAGCUACCAACUAAGUUU
This 4829-nucleotide long non-coding RNA is filed under the name Gossypium barbadense (sea-island cotton). RNAcentral describes it as "long non-coding RNA (GBAR_LNC022946)". The record is from RNAcentral. Lineage: Eukaryota; Viridiplantae; Streptophyta; Magnoliopsida; Malvales; Malvaceae.